GAGUGAUCGAAAGAUGAAAAGCACUUUGAAAAGAGAGUUAAACAGCACGUGAAAUUGUUGAAAGGGAAGCGCUUGCGACCAGACUCGCCCGCGGGGGUUCAGCCGGUACUCGUACCGGUGUACUCCCCCGUGGGCGGGCCAGCGUCGGUUUGGGCGGCCGGUCAAAGGCCUCCGGAAUGUAUCGCCCUUCGGGGCGUCUUAUAGCCGGGGGUGCAAUGCGGCCAGCCUGGACCGAGGAACGCGCUUCGGCUCGGACGCUGGCGUAAUGGUCGUAAGCGGCCC
RNAcentral lists this ribosomal RNA (282 nucleotides) under Paecilomyces brunneolus. Its description in RNAcentral is "partial 28S ribosomal RNA". It matches the Rfam family "Eukaryotic large subunit ribosomal RNA", at positions 351 to 650 of the family's 3401-position model. The record is from RNAcentral. Lineage: Eukaryota; Fungi; Ascomycota; Eurotiomycetes; Eurotiales; Thermoascaceae.